GUCUUUAUGAUUUUAAUUUAAAGUUYWAUCUGCUCCAUGAUUAAUUUAUUAAAUAGCUGCAGUAUUCUGACUGUACAAAGGUAGCAUAAUCAAUAGUUUUUUAAUUAAAAGCUGGAAUGAAGGAUUUGAUAAGGUAAAUAUUGUCUCAAUUUUAAUAGUAUUAGAAUUUUUUUUUUAGUAAAAAUACUAAAUUGAAUUUAAAAGACGAGAAGACCCUAUAGAUUUUUAUAUUUUUUAAUUUAAUAAAUUUAAAUACAAUUUUUUUUUAAAUUAAAAAUUAUUUGGUUGGGGAAAUUAUUAAAUUAAAAAAAUUUUAAUUAUUAUAAACAAAAAUUAUUGGGUUAUUGAUCUUAAUAUUUUGAAAUAGAAGAAUAAAUUACCUUAGGGAUAACAGCGUAAUUUUUUUGGAGAGAUCUUAUUGAUAAAAAAGUUUGCGACCUCGAUGUUGAAUUAAGAUAAAAUUUUAAUGUAGAAAUUAAAAAUUUUUGGUCUGUUCGACCAUUAAAAUCUUACGUGA
RNAcentral lists this ribosomal RNA (517 nucleotides) under Cryptus rubiginosus. RNAcentral's name for it is "partial 16S large subunit ribosomal RNA". The stretch from base 387 to 517 matches the Rfam family "Archaeal large subunit ribosomal RNA", at positions 2544 to 2674 of the family's 2987-position model. Lineage: Eukaryota; Metazoa; Arthropoda; Insecta; Hymenoptera; Ichneumonidae. The record is from RNAcentral.